GCUGGUGGAGCCCUUCCAUUGUCAAAAUUCAUCUGGGAUCCAUCCACUGUAGGAGUUCGGCUGAAAUCUGGUUCUCAUAGGAGCUCGGAUGGAAUCCGAAAGGUGGUCGACCAUCGUAGAAACUUGGAUGGAGUCUAGUUACUGUAGGAAUCCCAUUGUCGGAGAAGUUCAGACAUUGACGAAGUUCGAAAGAAGUUCGGAGUAGAGUCG
RNAcentral lists this long non-coding RNA (210 nucleotides) under Elaeis guineensis (African oil palm). RNAcentral's name for it is "long non-coding RNA (EGUI_LNC021469)". The record is from RNAcentral. Lineage: Eukaryota; Viridiplantae; Streptophyta; Magnoliopsida; Arecales; Arecaceae.